Molecule: long non-coding RNA, 284 nt
Organism: Acanthopagrus latus (yellowfin seabream)
Lineage: Eukaryota; Metazoa; Chordata; Actinopteri; Spariformes; Sparidae
Exons: 3
Source: RefSeq, a predicted model, not a curated record
AAGCCUUGGUCCUGCAAACAUGAUGGGGCGUUGAAGUUGAGUACACUGAACUUCUACACACUGCCAGAGUCGCCAACGCACCACAGCAUGAGGAAGGCGAGGGAGAGGAGAGCCGUCCCCAGCAGGUCUCCGAGGGCCGUCAGAUAUAGUAAAGCAGUUAUGAAGCACGGAGAGGAAAAACGACCACGCGCCCGACUCACCUGGAUCAGUGACGCGGACAAGAAGGCAACGGUCAAGAGCGGACUGGGCAAAGUGUGGCCUCCUUUGAUCAGGUGAAUGGCGUG